UACGGGGGGGGCAAGCGUUGUUCGGAUUCACUGGGUUUAAAGGGUGCGUAGGCGGAUUGGUAAGUCCGACGUGAAAUCCCCAGGCUUAACCUGGGAACUGCGUCGGAUACUGGAUGGCUUGAAUUCGGGAGAGGGAUGCAGAAUUCCAGGUGUAGCGGUGAAAUGCGUAGAUAUCGUGUGGAACGCCAAUGGUGAAAGCAGGUCGCUGGGGAUGCGCUGACGCUGAGACACGAAAGCCAGGGGAGCAAACGGG
This 253-nucleotide ribosomal RNA is filed under the name uncultured bacterium. RNAcentral's name for it is "partial 16S ribosomal RNA". It matches the Rfam family "Bacterial small subunit ribosomal RNA", at positions 524 to 776 of the family's 1533-position model. The record is from RNAcentral.